UUAGGUUAUUUGUAACCCUAAAAUUUAUGUAACACACAAACACAGUGCCGCCGUAUUCUUCUUCUACAACUGUUUCUUCCCUUCUUUGUCACAGUGCUAUCUUUCCCCUUUUUCGUCGAAGGUAUGAUCUUACCAGAGAGCAAUAAAAUCACCGCGCAAGACGACAACAGCCUACAACGGCGACAAAGGGAGGCUGGGUUUUCGGUUUUCUCCUUGAAAUAUGCAUUGUGCUCCAGAAGUGCCGCAAAACACAAACUGAGCCACGAUAUACAACGAUGAACGCGGCCGUGACGACCACUACUUACUUCUGGGACGCGACGCCGCAUGUAUGGACGGCCACCCAAAGCAACGCUCUGCUACACUAUUUCCCACUAUUGACAACACAGAUCCUAAUUAUGAUUAUUAUGUACUUAAUAAUGUCUACUGCAAUUGCACAGAUAAAUAGAGUUGACUGUUGAUCAUGUAUAAUAGCAACAGUCACAUUGAAUACUUCAUGAUCUCUAUGACAACUCAAGUAAAAUGAUCUAUUUGUCAACAUAAAGAGGUAUAAGUUUGUCAUACAAGGCAUCCUAAUUACCAUAAUCAUGCACUUAAUGAAUUCUACGGCAAUUGCACAGGUAAAUGGAUCCAACAGAAAAUCCUUCAUCCUUCAUCCAAUAAAAUUUAAAAAUGAAAACAGGACAACAAAAGUUAGAUUUAUACUAACCUCAACCAAUUUCUGCUCAGUGCUAGAAUGCAAGUAAUUAGACACUCUAUCUCUCUCCCGUCUCAAGCAAUCCUCAGCCUGUGCAAUUACAUGGAUAAAAAUUGUUAAACGAUGCUGGUAAGUAACCUCUGCAUUGUACGACAUUCAUAUUUUGAAUAUUUAAACAUUUAAAUUGAAAAAAUAUGAGAUGAAGUAUUUAAAAUUAUGAAAGUGGUACACAUAAAUUUAGUGUCUGUUUGGUAACGUCAAUAAGCUAACUUAUAGCUUAUAGAAUUAGCUUAUAAGCUUGUUUGAUCAAAUUAAAUGUGUUUGGUUAACAAGUUUUUCACACUAACUUAUAGCUUUUUUUUAGACUCUAUUUUAACUAGAGUUUGAACUUAUAGUUUAUAGCUUUUUAUAUUUUC
This 1110-nucleotide long non-coding RNA is filed under the name Cicer arietinum (chickpea). Its description in RNAcentral is "long non-coding RNA (CARI_LNC000866)". The record is from RNAcentral. Lineage: Eukaryota; Viridiplantae; Streptophyta; Magnoliopsida; Fabales; Fabaceae.